UACGAAGGGGGCUAGCGUUGUUCGGAAUCACUGGGCGUAAAGCGCACGUAGGCGGAUCGUUAAGUCGAGGGUGAAAUCCCAGGGCUCAACCCUGGAACUGCCUUCGAUACUGGCGAUCUUCGAGUCCGGGAGAGGUGAGUGGAACUCCGAGUGUAGAGGUGAAAUUCGUAGAUAUUCGGAGGAACACCGAUGGCGAAGGCAGCUCACUGGCCGUUAUCUGACGCUGAGGCGCGAAAGCGUGGGUAGCAAACAGG
Molecule: ribosomal RNA, 254 nt
Filed under: uncultured bacterium
Lineage: Bacteria
Description: partial 16S ribosomal RNA
Rfam family: Bacterial small subunit ribosomal RNA
Source: RNAcentral